AGCGAACGCUGGCGGCAGGCUUAACACAUGCAAGUCGAGCGGGCAUAGCAAUAUGUCAGCGGCAGACGGGUGAGUAACGCGUGGGAACGUACCUUUUGGUUCGGAACAACUGAGGGAAACUUCAGCUAAUACCGGAUAAGCCCUUACGGGGAAAGAUUUAUCGCCGAAAGAUCGGCCCGCGUCUGAUUAGCUAGUUGGUGAGGUAAUGGCUCACCAUGGCGACGAUCAGCAGCUGGUCCGAGAGGAUGAUCAGCCACAUUGGGACUGAGACACGGCCCAAACUCCUACGGGAGGCAGCAGUGGGGAAUAUUGGACAAUGGGCGCAAGCCUGAUCCAGCCAUGCCGCGUGAGUGAUGAAGGCCCUAGGGUUGUAAAGCUCUUUUGUGCGGGAAGAUAAUGACGGUACCGCAAGAAUAAGCCCCGGCUAACUUCGUGCCAGCCGCCGCCGUAA
RNAcentral lists this ribosomal RNA (451 nucleotides) under uncultured bacterium. RNAcentral's name for it is "partial 16S ribosomal RNA". It matches the Rfam family "Bacterial small subunit ribosomal RNA", at positions 29 to 523 of the family's 1533-position model. The record is from RNAcentral.